UACAGAGGUCCCAAGCGUUGUUCGGAUUCACUGGGCGUAAAGCGCGCGUAGGCGGCCCGGUAAGUCCGUUGUAAAAGUCGAAGGCUCAACCUUCGAAAGCCGAUGGAUACUGCCGGGCUAGAGUACGGAAGAGGCGAGUAGAAUUCCUGGUGUAGCGGUGGAAUGCGCAGAUAUCAGGAGGAACACCGGUGGCGAAGGCGGGUCUCUGGGCAGUAACUGACGCUGAGGAGCGAAAGCGUGGGGAGCGAACAGG
RNAcentral lists this ribosomal RNA (253 nucleotides) under uncultured bacterium. Its description in RNAcentral is "partial 16S ribosomal RNA". It matches the Rfam family "Bacterial small subunit ribosomal RNA", at positions 524 to 776 of the family's 1533-position model. The record is from RNAcentral.